Molecule: ribosomal RNA, 985 nt
Filed under: human gut metagenome
Description: bacterial LSU rRNA
Rfam family: Bacterial large subunit ribosomal RNA
Source: RNAcentral
AUAACGGUCCUAAGGUAGCGAAAUUCCUUGUCGGGUAAGUUCCGACCCGCACGAAAGGCGUAAUGAUUUGAGCGCUGUCUCGACAAUGCAUCCGGUGAAAUUGAAGUACCAGUGAAGAUGCUGGUUACCUGCGCCAGGACGGAAAGACCCCAUGGAGCUUUACUCCAGUUUGAUACUGGGAUUCGGUACUGCAUGUACAGGAUAGGUGGGAGACGAAGAAGGAUGGACGCCAGUCUGUCCGGAGUCGCUGUUGGGAUACCACCCCUGUAGUACUGGGUUUCUAACCAGUUGCCAUGAACUGGCAAUGGGACAAUGUCAGGCGGGGAGUUUGACUGGGGCGGUCGCCUCCGAAAGGGUAUCGGAGGCGCUCAAAGGUUCCCUCAGAAUGGUUGGAAACCAUUCGAAGAGUGCAAAGGCAGAAGGGAGCUUGACUGCGACACCGACGGGUGGAGCAGGUACGAAAGUAGGACUUAGUGAUCCGGUGGUAUAAAGUGGGAUUGCCAUCGCUCAACGGAUAAAAGCUACCCUGGGGAUAACAGGCUUAUCACUCCCAAGAGUUCACAUCGACGGAGUGGUUUGGCACCUCGAUGUCGGCUCAUCGCAUCCUGGGGCUGUAGUAGGUCCCAAGGGUUGGGCUGUUCGCCCAUUAAAGCGGUACGCGAGCUGGGUUCAGAACGUCGUGAGACAGUUCGGUCCCUAUCUGUCGUGGGCGCAGGAUAUUUGAAGGAAGCUGUCCCUAGUACGAGAGGACCGGGAUGGACGCACCUCUGGUGCACCAGUUGUCACGCCAGUGGCACAGCUGGGCAGCUAUGUGCGGAUCGGAUAAACGCUGAAAGCAUCUAAGCGUGAAGCCGGCCUUAAGAUAAGAUAUCCCACUGAGUCAAUCAGGUAAGACCCCUUGAAGACUACAAGGUUGAUAGGCACACAGUGUAAGCGGAGUGAUCCGUUCAGCUAGCGUGUACUAAUAGGUCGAGGGCUUGACCCC